GGAGAGGUCGCAUAGUCUGGUCUAGUGCGCGCGCCUGGAAAGCGCGUUUCCCGCAAGGGAUCGCGGGUUCGAAUCCCGCCCUCUCCGCCA
Molecule: transfer RNA, 90 nt
Filed under: Chloroflexota bacterium
Lineage: Bacteria; Bacillati; Chloroflexota
Description: Chloroflexi bacterium (activated sludge metagenome) tRNA-Ser
Rfam family: tRNA
About the family: Transfer RNA (tRNA) molecules are approximately 80 nucleotides in length. Their secondary structure includes four short double-helical elements and three loops (D, anti-codon, and T loops).
Source: RNAcentral